CAGCAACGCUGCGAGAAGCUCGGUGUUUGCCAGGUGACAGGAUGGAAAGAGCAAUAUGUGGUGCUGUGUUUAUAAGCACUGUCCAAGGAGAAAACUGUUUGACGUGGGAGAGGUGCAGGAUUUCAGUCCUGCAUUGUACUGGGCAGGGGAAGUCUUUGAUGAAUUGCGCUAAAGUGUAGCUGGCUGAAGGAUGAGCGCUCGAUGGUUCAGGGUGAAACGGGCUGGUCCGUCAGCUCCUGACCCGUCUGUCAUCAGUAAACAAAGCCACAGCCAUGUCAGAAUGAAUAUUCAUGAGAUACGAUGUUCUCACCUCUCCUGCAUCAACGGCUCUCUGUUCAACUCUGAUUACCGCACUGCAGAGCCCAUUGUCUCUGUCUUAUGAAUAUGCACCAGCUCAUGUUCUCAACAGGACAACAGUGAUCUAAAGUGGUGGUUUUGUCCCAUGUUCUCCACAGGACAACAGUGAUCUAAAGUGAUCUGGUCCCCCAGAGAUUUUAGUCCCACAACAGGAUUAAUCUGAUGGAUCCCCAGGGAUGUGCGGGGAGAGAUCGAAGUGAAUAAAAAUGUAACUCGUGGUGACAUAAAAAUGUGUUUUUUGGAGAGAGGAGAGGAGCACAAACAUCUCUAUGGCCCCACCCCACCAUAUACACAGCAACAGAAUGAAUUGCUUUAGAGAGACAGAAGAAAUGCCAUUACAUUCAGUUUUAUAAAACAGACACCCCCAACCUGGAGGGCCAGGUUCUUUUAUUUUUCCCACUCUCUCUCUCUCGCACACGCACACACACACACACACACACACAGACAAGAGUGAGCUAUUGAUCCACUUUGAAAUAAUCAUUGCAAAGUUUGCUGAUCUGAAUCUGAUUUGGCUUUUUUUGGCAAUACCAAGACUGGGUAACACAUCCAGGUGACACCAUACGGCUGGUUAGCAGCCCUCUGCUGCCACCAAGUGGUGUACCUCUAAAGUGCAUUAAAGGUAAGAUGUAAAUAACGGGCUAAAUGAAUGCGUAGUGUUAUGUGAGAUGUGGCACAGUCUGCCAUACUUCUGACACUUGAGCGAUAUGUGCGUAAAGACAGGGCUUCAAUUCCCCGCCAUGGCACCUUCUGAGCUGUGGACCCUUCCCCAUGUUUGACUCUCUCUGUUAAAUAUU
Molecule: long non-coding RNA, 1151 nt
Organism: Conger conger (European conger)
Lineage: Eukaryota; Metazoa; Chordata; Actinopteri; Anguilliformes; Congridae
Exons: 3
Source: RefSeq, a predicted model, not a curated record